Molecule: microRNA, 23 nt
Filed under: Aedes aegypti (yellow fever mosquito)
Lineage: Eukaryota; Metazoa; Arthropoda; Insecta; Diptera; Culicidae
Also listed under: 8 other names
Description: aae-miR-79-5p
Gene: aae-miR-79-5p
Source: miRBase by way of RNAcentral
GCUUUGGCGCUUUAGCUGUAUGA